This 380-nucleotide ribosomal RNA is filed under the name uncultured eukaryote. RNAcentral describes it as "partial 18S ribosomal RNA". It matches the Rfam family "Eukaryotic small subunit ribosomal RNA", at positions 592 to 976 of the family's 1831-position model. The record is from RNAcentral.
CAAUAGCGUAUAUUAAAGUUGUUGCAGUUAAAAAGCUCGUAGUUGGAUUUGUGGCGUACGGUGUGUUCCGGGCACUUGUUGUCUGAGUAACCUGCUGUUGCCAUCCUUGGGUGGAACCUGUGUGGCAUUAGGUUGUCGUGCAGGGGAUGCUCAUCAUUUACUGUGAGAAAAUUAGAGUGUUCAAAGCAGGCUUAUGCCGUUGAAUAUAUUAGCAUGGAAUAAUGAGAUAGGACUUUUUUGCUAUUUUGUUGGUUUGCGCAAAGAGGUAAUGAUCAAUAGGGACAGUUGGGGGUAUUCGUAUUCCAUUGUCAGAGGUGAAAUUCUUGGAUUUUUGGAAGACGAACUACUGCGAAAGCAUUUACCAAGGAUGUUUUCAUUAA